Molecule: non-coding RNA, 125 nt
Organism: Melanogaster broomeanus
Lineage: Eukaryota; Fungi; Basidiomycota; Agaricomycetes; Boletales; Melanogastraceae
Source: the annotation of a GenBank genome assembly
GGCCGACUAGCUCAGUUGGUUAGAGCGUCGUGCUAAUACUAUAAUUCAACGGCUGCUCUUGGCAACUUGGCGGCUGGUGGAUUGCACUUACGCGAAGGUCUUGGGUUCGAUCCCCACGUUGGCCA